RNAcentral lists this ribosomal RNA (1919 nucleotides) under sediment metagenome. Its description in RNAcentral is "bacterial LSU rRNA". It matches the Rfam family "Bacterial large subunit ribosomal RNA", at positions 1 to 1989 of the family's 2925-position model. The record is from RNAcentral.
GGAAGUGAGUAAGGGCGCACGGGGGAUGCCUAGGCUUCCGGAGGCGAUGAAGGACGUGACAAGCUGCGAUAAGCCCUGGGGAGGCGCAUGUAGCCGGUGAUCCGGGGAUUUCCGAAUGGGGCAACCCGGCACGCGGGAGGCGUGCCAUCCCGCCGGUUGGCGGGAGGCGAACCCGGGGAACUGAAACAUCUAAGUACCCGGAGGAGGAGAAAACAAGAGUGAUCCCCGGAGUAGUGGCGAGCGAAAUGGGGAAAGCCCAAACCGGGGCGGUUUCGGCCGCCACGGGGUAGUAGGGCCGCCAAGAGGUUGCGAGCGGCGAGGCGGAACGGUCUGGAACGGCCGGCCGUAGCGGGUGAUAGCCCCGUACGCGAAAGCGGCGAGCGACCGGGCGGUACCCUGAGUAGGUCGGGGCACGGGUAACCCUGUCCGAAUCAGCCGGGACCAUCCGGCAAGGCUAAAUACUCCCGGAAGACCGAUAGCGUACCAGUACCGUGAGGGAAAGGUGAAAAGCACCGCGAGCAGCGGGGUGAAAGAGAGCCUGAAACCGUGCGCCUACAAGCGGUCGGAGUUCCGGUUUACCGGGAUGACGGCGUGCCUUUUGCAUAAUGAGCCUACGAGUUGCCGUGACCGGCGAGGUUAACCCCGUGUACGGGGGGAGCCGAAGCGAAGGCGAGUCCGAAUAGGGCGUUUAGUCGGUCGGGGCAGACGCGAAACCUAGCGAUCUACCCAUGGCCAGGCUGAAGUCCCGGUAACACGGGAUGGAGGGCCGAACCGGUGAGCGUUGAAAAGCUCUGGGAUGAGCUGUGGGUAGGGGUGAAAGGCCAAUCAAGCUGGGAAAUAGCUCGUACUCCCCGAAAUGCCUUUUGGGGCAGCCUCGGGAUACGCGCGCGGAGGUAGAGCUACCGAUUGGGUGCGAGGGUUUCACCGCCUAUCAAGCCCAGACGAACUCCGAAUGCCGCGAGGCGGUUUCCCGGGAGAGAGCCGCGGGGUGCUAAGGUCCCGCGACGAGAGGGGAAUAACCCGGACCGGCGGCUAAGGUCCCGAAGCGUACGCUAAGUCGAGGUAACGAGGUGCGGCUGCAGUGACAGCUAGGAUGUUGGCUUGGAAGCAGCCAUUCAUUCAAAGAGUGCGUAACAGCUCACUAGUCGAGCGGCCGUGCGUGGAUAAUAAGCGGGCGUCAAGCGUACCACCGAAGCCCCGGGUUCCCGCGCGAACGGGAGCGGUAGGGGAGCAUUCCAUGAGCGGGGAAGCCGAUCCGCGAGGGUUGGUGGAGCGCAUGGAAAGGCAAAUGUAGGCAUGAGUAACGACAAUGCGGGUGAGAAACCCGCACACCGUAAGGCCAAGGGUUCCUGAUCAACGCUAAUCGGAUCAGGGUUAGCCGGGUCCUAAGGCGUACCCGAGGGGGGAAGCCGAUGGGCAUCGGGUUAAUAGUCCCGAGCUGGCGUGGGGUGCGAUCCGGGGACGGAUCGGCGCGGCGCGCACGUACCGACGGACAUGGUGCGUUGAGCCUAGCCCCCGGGCGAAGCGAGCGCGUGAGGCCGGUUCCGAGAAAAUCCGGUAAGCGAGAGCCCCUCGUCACCCGUACCGUAAACCGACACAGGUGGCCGGGGAGAGUAUCCCAAGGUGCUCGAGUGAAUCAUGGCCAAGGAACUCGGCAAACUGACCCUGUAACUUCGGGAUAAAGGGUCCCCCGCGUGAGCGGGGGCGCAGAGAAGUGGCCCAGGCGACUGUUUACCAAAAACACAAGGCUCUGCCAAACCGCGAGGUGACGUAUAGGGCCUGACACCUGCCCGGUGCCGGAAGGUUAAGGGGAGGGGUUAUCCGCGAGGAGAAGCCCUGAACCGAAGCCCCGGUAAACGGCGGCCGUAACUAUAACGGUCCUAAGGUAGCGAAAUUCCUUGUCGGGUAAGUUCCGACCU